GCUGUGAUAGUUUCUGGUAUUGGUAAUGGUACAGGUGCUAAGAUCGCUUCAGGUGUUGGGAUGGGUCCAGGUGCUGCGAUAGUUUCUGGUACUGGUAAUGGUACUGGUGCUGGGAUCGCUUCAGGUGUUGGGAUGUGUCCAAGUGCAGUAGAUAGUCCCAAUUCUUGGAUUUUAGGGUAUAUUCCUAAUUGGGGAAAUACCAAAAGAGCUACGCAUAUUACAAUCUUGGCCGAUGUUUGCCACAUUUUCGUGGCUUUUUCUUACAACACUACGAAAUACUAUUUAGGACGUCUAGCACGGGUUUCGUUCAGACUGCUAAAUCCAAAGAAGACCUGUUGUAGCUGCCUUACCGUCUGUGAAUCUGUAACACUUUCACUAUUCUACACACUCCUUAAAUUAUACUGCAAGCGCCGAGUUUUUACUAGUCGUUCCUUGGCAGUGGCACACUGUCACUAGUAUAUCUCACUCUUCGCCUCACUGUUGAAGUCAAAGUGCAGAAUCAAGCUAGCUGCUUCGUUAUAUAUCCUGGGCCUGACCCCGUGUCGCCUGGUGUCGUAAUGUACUGUGACGUCAGAGCGCUGACGUUACUACUUCCCCUACCCCGCCAGCGGUGACGUAACACCUUCAGAGCGUUGUAGGCUGUUAACUAAACCAAUUAACAAUCCGAAGGGCGUCUUCAGUGGCAAGAAACACGUUACACUACCUAGCAACAACUUUUAUUUACAGAGCGAUUAUCUCGCAAUGACCUGUGUUUAGAGAGCAAUUACCUAGCAUCGGCUUCUGUUUAUGAAGCGAAUACCCAGCAACAGCUUUUAAUAGCAGCUUAUUUCGCUGUCGGUGCCAGGUUACGGGUAUACAUGCGUAGUUUUGUAGAUACUGGAAGCGUCGUAAAAUAACGUGAAGAAUAAUGAGCUGAUAUGUCUUUGUAAUUAACAUGAAUAAUGGUUUUCUGUUAUGUAAGAACUGCAUUUAUGAACGUAAUAUUUAAUAACUAAACUGCUUCAAAGUCUUAAAUCUCUGAGCAAAUUUCUUUGAAUUUCUUUAAUGUAAAGUAGACCUAUCGAGACAGCAUUGUGAGUGUGGGGGAAAACUGUACUGAUUAAAUGUGUAUUUCAAGUACAGCGCGAAUAAGUAAUGUUUUAAUGAAAAUAUCAAAUACAUUCGGAUGAAUACUUGACAGUUCGACGGCGCUAGUGUCGGCCAGAGAAUGAAGGUGCUUAAGGUAGACGUUUUGUUUGUGUGGUUGGUGCGAUGUGAAAGAGUAUGGGAGCUUAUUUUACGGCUUGUAAUAAUUAAAAAUUA
Cryptotermes secundus is the source of this 1302-nucleotide long non-coding RNA. RefSeq lists it as uncharacterized. Lineage: Eukaryota; Metazoa; Arthropoda; Insecta; Blattodea; Kalotermitidae. The transcript has 2 exons. The record is from RefSeq and is a predicted model, not a curated record.